GCCCGCAGUGCUGGGCAACGAAAUCGGACAUGACCUGACCCUUAACGGCUUUUGCCGAUUCAUAUCGAAGGUCAAACUGUGACGAAGCCAAGAUCCAUUUGCCGAUCCGUCCUUUCAAAAUCAGUAGUGCCAGCAUGUACUUUACUACGUCGUCCUUGCAUACGACUACACAUUCCGCUGACAGCAAAUAGUGCCUGAGUUUGGUGCAUGAGAAGUAAAGGCAUAGGCACAACCGCUCCACUGGAGGAUACCUUGUUUCGGCGUCCAGAAGUCUUCUACUGACAUAAUAAAUUACUCGUUCCUUUCCCUCGAACUCCUGGACCAGAG
This 327-nucleotide long non-coding RNA is filed under the name Setaria viridis. Its description in RNAcentral is "long non-coding RNA (SVIR_LNC005522)". The record is from RNAcentral. Lineage: Eukaryota; Viridiplantae; Streptophyta; Magnoliopsida; Poales; Poaceae.